RNAcentral lists this ribosomal RNA (464 nucleotides) under uncultured bacterium. RNAcentral's name for it is "bacterial SSU rRNA". It matches the Rfam family "Bacterial small subunit ribosomal RNA", at positions 28 to 507 of the family's 1533-position model. The record is from RNAcentral.
GACGAACGCUGGCGGCGUGCUUAAAACAUGCAAGUCGAACGGACUUCUCAUGAAGCUUGCGAUUGAGAAGUUAGUGGCGGACGGGUGAGUAACGCGUGGGCAACCUGCCCCUGAGCCCGGGAUAACAGUUCGAAAGGACUGCUAAGACCGGAUAUACUUGCGGGGAAGCAUUUCUCUGUAAGGAAAGGGAACGCUCAGGGAUGGGCCCGCGUCCCAUUAGCUAGUUGGUGAGGUAACGGCCCACCAAGGCGACGAUGGGUAGCCGGCCUGAGAGGGUGAACGGCCACACUGGGACUGAGACACGGCCCAGACUCCUACGGGAGGCAGCAGUUGGGAAUCUUCGGCAAUGGGCGCAAGCCUGACCGAGCAACGCCGCGUGAGUGAUGAAGGUUUUCGAUUGUAAAGCUCUGCCUUCCGGGACGAUAAUGACGGUACCGGAGGAGGAAGCCACGGCUAACUACGUG